CAGUCGCCGCGGUAAAACGGAGGGUGCAAGCGUUAAUCGGAAUUACUGGGCGUAAAGCGUGCGUAGGCGGUUCGUUAAGUCUGUUGUGAAAGCCCCGGGCUCAACCUGGGAAUGGCAAUGGAUACUGGCGAGCUAGAGUGUGUCAGAGGAUGGUGGAAUUCCCGGUGUAGCGGUGAAAUGCGUAGAGAUCGGGAGGAACAUCAGUGGCGAAGGCGGCCAUCUGGGACAACACUGACGCUGAGGCACGAAAGCGUGGGGAGCAAACAGGAUUAGAUACCCCAGUAGUCCCUGUCUCUUAUAC
Molecule: ribosomal RNA, 301 nt
Filed under: uncultured bacterium
Lineage: Bacteria
Description: partial 16S ribosomal RNA
Rfam family: Bacterial small subunit ribosomal RNA
Source: RNAcentral